Arabidopsis suecica is the source of this 121-nucleotide non-coding RNA. Lineage: Eukaryota; Viridiplantae; Streptophyta; Magnoliopsida; Brassicales; Brassicaceae. The record is from the annotation of a GenBank genome assembly.
UUAAACUAUUUAUCAACUCAACCCAUCAAAUUAAAUGAGUUAUGCGUUGACCCAACUCAUUUUGUAAAUGAGUUGGGUCAAUCCAUAACUCAUUUAACCCUAAACUCAUUUGAUUAUGAGU